Molecule: ribosomal RNA, 1317 nt
Filed under: uncultured Campylobacterota bacterium
Lineage: Bacteria; Pseudomonadati; Campylobacterota
Description: bacterial SSU rRNA
Rfam family: Bacterial small subunit ribosomal RNA
Source: RNAcentral
CCUCUCGUGGGGGCAACAAGUGGAAACCCUCUUAUCCCCUCUUUUCCAAAAAUGGAAAUUUUUCGCGGAAGGUUGGCUAUCUCCCCUCCGGUGUGUGGAAGGAAAAGCUUCCCCAAGGUUAAGCGGGUUACUGGUUUGAGAGAGAUUUCCGUCCCCCGGGAAUUGGCCCCGGUCCAGAUCUCCUCGGGGAGCCACCAGGGGGAAUCUUCCCAAAGGGGGGAACCCCUGAUCGCACCACCCCGGCGGGGAGGAUGACCCAUUUCGGGUGGUAAACUCCUUUUUUUGGGAGAAGAUUUGCCGGUAUCCGAAGAAUAAGCAUCGGUUAAUUCCGUGCCAGCAGCCGCGGUAAUACGGAGGAUGCAAGCGUUAUUCGGAAUCACUGGGCGUAAAGAGCAUGUAGGCUGGUUUGCAAGUCAGAUGUGAAAUCUCACAGCUUAACUGUGAAACUGCAUUUGAAACUGCUUACCUCGAGUAUGGAAGAGGCAGAUGGAAUUAAUGGUGUAGGGGUAAAAUCCGUAGAGAUCGUUAGGAAUACCGAAAGCGAAAGCGAUCUGCUGGGACAUUACUGACGCUGAGAUGCGAAAGCGUGGGGAGCAAACAGGAUUAGAUACCCUGGUAGUCCACGCCCUAAACGACGAAUGCUUGUCGUCGGCGGCCAAGUGUCGUCGGUGAUUCACCUAACGGAUUAAGCAUUCCGCCUGGGGAGUACGGUCGCAAGAUUAAAACUCAAAGGAAUAGACGGGGACCCGCACAAGCGGUGGAGCAUGUGGUUUAAUUCGAAGAUACGCGAAAAACCUUACCUACCCUUGACAUUGAUAGAAUUUUGCAGAGAUGUGAAAGUGCCUUCGGGAACUUGAAAACAGGUGCUGCACGGCUGUCGUCAGCUCGUGUCGUGAGAUGUUGGGUUAAGUCCCGCAACGAGCGCAACCCUCUUCUUUUAUUGCUAACAGUUCGGCUGAGCACUCUAAAGAUACUGCCUUCGUAAGGAGGAGGAAGGUGAGGUCGACGUCAAGUCAUCAUGGCCCUUAUGGGUGGGGCUACACACGUGCUACAAUGGGGCAUACAGAGAGUCGCAACAUCGCGAGGUGAAGCUAAUCUUUAAAGUGUCUCUCAGUUCGGAUUAUUCUCUGCAACUCGAGAAUAUGAAGCUGGAAUCGCUAGUAAUCGUGAAUCAGAAUGUCACGGUGAAUACGUUCCCGGGUCUUGUACUCACCGCCCGUCACACCAUGGGAGUUGAUUUCACCCGAAAUCGGGAAGCUAAACUGGCUACCGCUUACGGUGGAAUCAGCGACUGGGGUGAAGUCGUAACAAGGUACC